RNAcentral lists this transfer RNA (77 nucleotides) under Planctomycetota bacterium. RNAcentral describes it as "Planctomycetes bacterium (activated sludge metagenome) tRNA-Asp". It matches the Rfam family "tRNA". Rfam says of the family: Transfer RNA (tRNA) molecules are approximately 80 nucleotides in length. Their secondary structure includes four short double-helical elements and three loops (D, anti-codon, and T loops). Further hydrogen bonds mediate the characteristic L-shaped molecular structure. tRNAs have two regions of fundamental functional importance: the anti-codon, which is responsible for specific mRNA codon recognition, and the 3' end, to which the tRNAs corresponding amino acid is attached (by aminoacyl-tRNA synthetases). tRNAs cope with the degeneracy of the genetic code in two manners: having more than one tRNA (with a specific anti-codon) for a particular amino acid; and 'wobble' base-pairing, i.e. permitting non-standard base-pairing at the 3rd anti-codon position. The record is from RNAcentral. Lineage: Bacteria; Pseudomonadati; Planctomycetota.
GGGGGUGUAGCUCAAUUGGUUAGAGCGUCGGCCUGUCACGCCGAAGGUUGCGGGUUCAAGUCCCGUCACCCUCGCCA